RNAcentral lists this ribosomal RNA (235 nucleotides) under uncultured fungus. RNAcentral describes it as "partial 18S ribosomal RNA". It matches the Rfam family "Eukaryotic small subunit ribosomal RNA", at positions 40 to 274 of the family's 1831-position model. Lineage: Eukaryota; Fungi. The record is from RNAcentral.
AAGAUUAAGCCAUGCAUGUCUAAGUAUAAACAAAUCUAUACUGUGAAACUGCGAAUGGCUCAUUAAAUCAGUUAUAGUUUAUUUGAUAAUACCUUACUACUCGGAUAACCGUAGUAAUUCUAGAGCUAAUACAUGCACUGAAAUCCCGACUUCUGGAAGGGAUGUAUUUAUUAGAAUAAAAACCAACCCGGGCAACCGGUUCUUUGGUCAUUCAUGAUAACUUUUCGAAUCGCAU